GAUGAACGCUGGCGGCGUGCCUAAUACAUGCAAGUCGAGCGAACAGAUGAGGAGCUUGCUCCUCUGACGUUAGCGGCGGACGGGUGAGUAACACGUGGAUAACCUACCUAUCAGACUGGGAUAACUUCGGGAAACCGGAGCUAAUACCGGAUAAUAUAUUGCACCGCAUGGUUCAAUAGUGAAAGACGGUUUUGCUGUCACUUAUAGAUGGAUCCGCGCCGCAUUAGCUAGUUGGUAAGGUAACGGCGUACCAAGGCAACGAUGCGUAGCCGACCUGAGAGGGUGAUCGGCCACACUGGAACUGAGACACGGUCCAGACUCCUACGGGAGGCAGCAGUAGGGAAUCUUCCGCAAUGGGCGAAAGCCUGACGGAGCAACGCCGCGUGAGUGAUGAAGGUCUUCGGAUCGUAAAACUCUGUUAUUAGGGAAGAACAAAUGUGUAAGUAACUAUGCACGUCUUGACGGUACCGAAUCAGAAAGCCACGGCUAACUACGUG
Molecule: ribosomal RNA, 497 nt
Filed under: uncultured bacterium
Lineage: Bacteria
Description: partial 16S ribosomal RNA
Rfam family: Bacterial small subunit ribosomal RNA
Source: RNAcentral